UACGGAGGGUGCAAGCGGUAUCCGGAUUCACUGGGUUUAAAGGGUGCGUAGGCGGACAGGUAAGUCAGUGGUGAAAUCUCUGGGCUUAACCCAGAAACUGCCGUUGAUACUAUUUGUCUUGAAUAUCCUGGAGGUAGGCGGAAUAUGUCAUGUAGCGGUGAAAUGCUUAGAUAUGACAUAGAACACCGAUAGCGAAGGCAGCUUACUACAGGAUGAUUGACGCUGAGGCACGAAAGCGUGGGGAGCAAACAGG
This 253-nucleotide ribosomal RNA is filed under the name uncultured bacterium. Its description in RNAcentral is "partial 16S ribosomal RNA". It matches the Rfam family "Bacterial small subunit ribosomal RNA", at positions 524 to 776 of the family's 1533-position model. The record is from RNAcentral.